UACAUCUAUGCGCAUCGUUCA
Molecule: non-coding RNA, 21 nt
Filed under: Arabidopsis thaliana (thale cress)
Lineage: Eukaryota; Viridiplantae; Streptophyta; Magnoliopsida; Brassicales; Brassicaceae
Source: RNAcentral